CCUGAUGCAGUGCCUGACUGUAGUUCUGCAGCUCCACUGAAGAAGAGGCACUGAGGACUAGAGGCAGCCAGGGGAUUGCAACUCAAAGAGGUUUUCUAGAACCAGUUACUUCCAAAUUAUGUUCAAUUAGGCAACAGAACUAAAGAAUAUGCCUCUGAUCUACUUAUUUCUCAGCCUGAAUGCUGACUUCAUAGACUUUCAAAACAAAGUAAUAGGUGAGGAGCAAAGGAAGUAGUUCUGCUGACGGUUCAGGACCUGCUGUGUGGGUAGGGUGGUUCACUAGUCAUCCUGAAAGAGCAUGAGAAGGAGAAAUACUGUCUGUGGCUGACUUCGGCCUUACACAUGAUCACCCUCUCCCUGAAGGCUGUUGGACGACUUGCUAAAUGCAGCAAAUCCUGUUGAAACCUGCAAAGUUGUUAUAAAAACAGAUGGACCAGGACUUCCACAAUAACUGUUUGGAUGGGCAGUUAAAUUAUUUAGCCAUUUCUACAAUGUGACUGUAACCCAGUUACAGGAAGAGGUUUGUGUACUCUCCAGUGACUCUUAGCAGGAAGCUGCCUAUGCAAGUACAAAAUGGGUGGAAUGAUGGUCUUUAGCUGAUAGCAGAAAUGGACAGUCGGCCUUCACCAACCCACCCUACCUUGUGUCUCAUACACAGCAAGUUUUAAAGAUUUCCAGGAAACAUAUCUUACCAACUUCCUUAGUAACU
This 709-nucleotide long non-coding RNA is filed under the name Homo sapiens (human). RNAcentral's name for it is "long independently transcribed non-coding RNA 1796 (LINC01796)". The record is from RNAcentral. Lineage: Eukaryota; Metazoa; Chordata; Mammalia; Primates; Hominidae.